UGCCCGCUAGACAUGUACACUUAACAAUUAUUCCAUACAACAAAUAUAGUAGACCUAUUGCAUAUGGUAUGAGAAAAACAGACCAAAACACAAAAAUUUAACUAUAACCACUGAACCAUGAAAAUGAAGUCAAGGUCAGAUGACACCUGCCAGUUGGACAUGUACACCUUACAGUCCUUCCAUACACCGAAUAUACUAGCCCUAUUGCUUAUAGUAUC
This 218-nucleotide long non-coding RNA is filed under the name Mytilus galloprovincialis (Mediterranean mussel). The record is from RNAcentral. Lineage: Eukaryota; Metazoa; Mollusca; Bivalvia; Mytilida; Mytilidae.